This 1491-nucleotide ribosomal RNA is filed under the name uncultured rumen bacterium. RNAcentral's name for it is "bacterial SSU rRNA". It matches the Rfam family "Bacterial small subunit ribosomal RNA". The record is from RNAcentral.
AGAGUUUGAUCCUGGCUCAGAWYGAACGCUAGCGGCAGGCUUAACACAUGCAAGUCGAGGGGCAGCGCGGUGUAGCAAUACACUGGCGGCGACCGGCGGAAGGGUGCGUAACGCGUGAGCGACAUGCCCGUGACAGGGGGAUAACAGAUGGAAACGUCUCCUAAUACCCCAUAGGAUCGCGUGCUACAUGGCACAGGAUUGAAAGGUGAGAACCGGUCACGGAUUGGCUCGCGUCCCAUCAGGUAGACGGCGGGGCAGCGGCCCGCCGUGCCGACGACGGGUAGGGGCUCUGAGAGGAGUGACCCCCACAAUGGAACUGAGACACGGUCCAUACUCCUACGGGAGGCAGCAGUGAGGAAUAUUGGUCAAUGGGCGGAAGCCUGAACCAGCCAUGCCGCGUGCGGGAGGACGGCCCUACGGGUUGUAAACCGCUUUUGAGUGCGAGCAAUAAGGUUCACGCGUGGACCGAUGAGAGUAGCAUUCGAAUAAGCAUCGGCUAACUCCGUGCCAGCAGCCGCGGUAAUACGGAGGAUGCGAGCGUUAUCCGGAUUCAUUGGGUUUAAAGGGUGCGUAGGCGGACUCGUAAGUCCGAGGUGAAAGACCGGGGCCCAACCCCGGGGUUGCCUCGGAUACUGCGGAUCUGGAGUGGACGUGCCGCCGGGGGAAUGAGUGGUGUAGCGGUGAAAUGCAUAGAUAUCACUCAGAACACCGAUUGCGAAGGCACCUGGCGAAUGUCUUACUGACGCUGAGGCACGAAAGCGUGGGGAUCGAACAGGAUUAGAUACCCUGGUAGUCCACGCAGUAAACGAUGAUGGCUGUCCGUUCGUCCCUGUAGGGAUGAGUAGACAAGCGAAAGCGCUAAGCCAUCCACCUGGGGAGUACGGCCGCAAGGCUGAAACUCAAAGGAAUUGACGGGGGCCCGCACAAGCGGAGGAACAUGUGGUUUAAUUCGAUGAUACGCGAGGAACCUUACCCGGGCUCGAACGGCAGAGGAAGGAUGCGGAGACGCAAACGCCCUUCGGGGCUUCUGUCGAGGUGCUGCAUGGUUGUCGUCAGCUCGUGCCGUGAGGUGUCGGCUCAAGUGCCAUAACGAGCGCAACCCUUGCCUGCAGUUGCCAUCGGGUUAGGCCGGGGACUCUGCAGGGACUGCCACCGCAAGGUGAGAGGAGGGGGGGGGUGACGUCAAAUCAGCACGGCCCUUACGUCCGGGGCGACACACGUGUUACAAUGGCGGUCACAGAGGGAAGCCACCCAGUGAUGGGGCGCGGAUCCCCAAAAAGCCGCCUCAGUUCGGAUCGGAGUCUGCAACCCGACUCCGUGAAGCUGGGUUCGCUAGUAAUCGCGCAUCAGCCAUGGCGCGGUGAAUACGUUCCCGGGCCUUGUACACACCGCCCGUCAAGCCAUGGGAGCCGCGGGCGCCUGAAGGCCGUGACCGCGAGGAGCGGCCUAGGGCGAAAGUGGUGACUGGGGCUAAGUCGUAACAAGGUAACC